UCAAGUGACUAAGUGCAUGCGGCGGAUGCCUUGGCGAUCACAGGCGAAGAAAGACGCGGCAGCCUGCGAAAAGCUGCGGGGAGCUGGCAAACGAGCUUUGAUCCGCAGAUAUCUGAAUGGGGGAACCCACACCGCAAGGUGUAUCCGUAGCUCAAUACAUAGGUUACGGAGGCGAACGAGGAGAACUGAAACAUCUAAGUAUCCUCAGGAAAAGAAAUCAACCGAGAUUCCGGCAGUAGCGGCGAGCGAACCCGGAGGAGCCCAGCUUUUGAUAGUACGAACUUUAGCCGAAAGGUCCUGGAAAGGCCUGCUAUAGUGGGUGAUAGCCCCGUAGGCGAAAGAGUUGGUACGGUACUAAGGAAGCGAGAAGUAGAGCGGGACACGUGGAAUCCUGUUCGAAGACGGGGGGACCAUCCUCCAAGGCUAAAUACUCGUGAUCGACCGAUAGUGAACCAGUACCGUGAGGGAAAGGCGAAAAGAACCCCGGGAGGGGAGUGAAAUAGAACCUGAAACCGCAUGCAUACAAACAGUAGGAGCCUCAUCAGAGGUGACUGCGUACCUUUUGCAUAAUGGGUCAGCGACUUACAUUCUGUGGCGAGCUUAACCGAAUAGGGGAGGCGCAGCGAAAGCGAGUUCGAAAUGAGCGUCCAGUCGCAGGGUGUAGACCCGAAACCAGAUGAGCUAUCCAUGGCCAGGUUGAAGGUGUGGUAACACACACUGGAGGACCGAACCGACUAGUGUUGCAAAAUUAGCGGAUGAGCUGUGGAUAGGGGUGAAAGGCCAAACAAAUCUGGAGAUAGCUGGUUCUCCCCGAAAACUAUUGAGGUAGUGCCUCGUGUGUCGCUCCAGGGGGUAGAGCACUGUUUUGGCUAGGGGGACAUGGAGUCUUACCAAACCAAGGCAAACUCCGAAUACCUGGAAGCGUGAGCACGGGAGACAGAGCACCGGGUGCUAACGUCCGGACUCAAAAGGGAAACAACCCAGACCGCCGGCUAAGGUCCCAAAUAACAGCUAAGUGGAAAACGAAGUGGAAAGGCCGUGACAACCAGGAAGUUGGCUUAGAAGCAGCCAUCCUUCAAAGAAAGCGUAAUAGCUCACUGGUCGAGUCCUUCUGCGCGGAAGAUGUAACGGGGCUAAGCUGUUAACCGAAGCCGCGGAUGCACUGGUAAUCCAGUGCGUGGUAGGGGAGCGUUCUGUAAGUCUGCGAAGGCGGUUCGAGAGGACUGCUGGAGAUAUCAGAAGUGCGAAUGCUGACAUGAGUAACGUUAAAGCAGGUGAAAAGCCUGCUCGCCGUAAGCCCAAGGAUUCCUGCUCUACGUUCAUCGGAGCAGGGUGAGUCGGCUCCUAAGGUCAGGCCGAAAGGCGUAGCCGAUGGGAAUCAGGUUAAUAUUCCUGAACCUGCGUCAGAUGCGAUGGGGGGACGGAGCAUGGAAGAUCAUCCGGGUGUUGGAAGUCCCGGUUGUUGAGCGUAGGAGGUCUGCAGGCAAAUCCGCAGACGCAUCUCCAAGGCAAAGACACGUGCCGCCACGGCGGCGAAGUGAUCGGAAGUGCUUCCAAGAAAAGCCUCUAAGCACCAGUCUGAUGCGGACCGUACCGCAAACCGACACUGGUGGGCGAGCUGAAUAUGCUCAGGCGCUUGAGAGAACUCGGGAGAAGGAACUCGGCAAAUUGACACCGUAACUUCGGAAGAAGGUGUGCCGUAGUACCGUGAGAGGAGAGACACCUUGAGCGGGAAACGGUCUCAGAGAAUAGGUGGCUGCGACUGUUUAUUAAAAACACAGCACUCUGCAAAGUCGAAAGACGACGUAUAGGGUGUGAUGCCUGCCCGGUGCUGGAAGAUUAAUUGAUGGGGUGAGAGCCCUUGAUCGAAGUCCCAGUAAACGGCGGCCGUAACUAUAACGGUCCUAAGGUAGCGAAAUUCCUUGUC
Molecule: ribosomal RNA, 1927 nt
Filed under: human gut metagenome
Description: bacterial LSU rRNA
Rfam family: Bacterial large subunit ribosomal RNA
Source: RNAcentral